CCUAGGGCCAGACUGCCAGGGUUCAGAUCCCAGCUCUGGAUUUCCUGUGUGUCCUUGGGCAAGUUAUUUAGCCUUGCUGUGCCUCAGUUUUCUCAUCUGUAAAAUGGGAAUAAUCAUAGUGUUGAUAAGAAUUUAAUGAGCAAAACAAGUACAGUGUACAGCACAGUGCCCAGGACAGGGUAAAACAUUAGGUGUUAUUUCUCUCCACCUUGUUGACCAACCUGGGACCUUCAUACCUCUCCACAAACCUGAGGCUGAAGAGGCCAAGUCUGCCUCCCCCUCUCCCUGUAGGCAAGGAAGUCUAGGGGGAGAAGGGAUGGUCUCCCCACAGCUGCCUAAGGCCCAUCCCACAGUUCCAGGCUGGGGGCAGAAUGUCUGCAGCCUCCACAAUGAGAUGGAGCCUGGAUUCAAGUUCUGCCUCAGCCCCUAAAUAGCUGUGUGCUCUUGAACAAAUAACAGCUUCUCUGAGCCUCAGCUACCUCACCUGCAAAAUGGGGUUAAUAAUAGUACCCACUGCAUAAGGGUUAUGAGGAUGAUGUCUCUGAAAUGCCCGGCACAAAGAAGCCACUCAGUAAAUGGUUGCUGUCACUGCUGCCUGGCACACAGAGCAGGUGCUCCACAAAUGUCAGUUUCCUUUAUCAUGUGUACCUUCCUCUUCCUAAGAGUCACAAUGUUCCAGGUCAAGCCAUGGGGCCUUAGGGUUUCUGGAUCGCAGAAUGCGGACACCUCCGCUCUAGGAAGAGCCCCUCCUCCUUGCUCCUGAGCCCCUACCCCACCAGGAGGCACUGCAGAGAUGCUGUUUCUCUUCACGCAGUGUGUGUAAUCAAGACUCAAGCGACAGAUGGACAGAUAUGCAAGGAAAGGAAAGCCCUCAAGACGCAAGGGUAUGGCUGCUCCUGGACUCCUCAGCCAAGCUUGAGUAGAAUGAGGGGGCAGACUGGAGGCAGAGCACAGUCAGCCCCACCGCUGUCAAUCAUCCUGGGCUUUCCUGGCACCCUCACUCCCUCACCUCUACCCCUGAGGACCUUUCCUUGCUGGAUGAAGGGGUGCGGAACUGCUUUGGCCUUCCAGCUCUGGCAGAGCAGAAGCCCCCAACUCCAGGAAGUCAAAGGGUCCUCGGCCACACUGGACUGCAGGGAACCCCUGGGAGGUAUGACCCUCACCAAGAAGGAAGCCGAGUGGCAGACGCCAGUGAGAUGAAAGACUCAAGGGUCAGCGGAUCAAGAUGAGAGUUGUGAAGUGACCACUGCCUCUGGCACAUGUCGAGAAGACAAAGGCUGGACCCUCUGAGGUCCCCUCAGACCCACGGGUCUAUCCAAGGAGGCUCUGAGCUUUGUUCGAGAGUUCGGGCAGGGCUGUCCUGUGCUCUCUAACAGGGGUGCGGGCGAGGGGGCAGUGCAGGCAGUGGGCCCAGAAAGCAGUGUCCCUGGAAGAACCCCAAGGGAAAGGGGGCAGGUGUAACCUCCUUAAUUUCCCUGCCCUUCCUGCUUUCUUGGCCAGGACCAAGUGUCCUUCUCUCUGAGAGGCCUACACAGGAAGUGGGGGCCCUAUCCCACCCAUGCCUGUAAGGGAGUGUGCUGAUACCUGGCCUCUACCCACACAAGAGUUCCCCGCCCCUCAGCCUGGCACUCAGGGCCUCUCUGCUCCAUCUUACCUCCCUCUCCCUUUCACACAGCCACGCUGUGGCCAGGCUGAGCUUCCCAAGGCCGCCGGUCCAUCUCUCACACUCUGCAGCUUCUGCACCUUUGCUCCUGCUGUGCCCCCAGCCUGGAAUGCCGGAAUCCCACCUCCUGUCCCCUCACAGGUGUGUGUCUGAGCCUUGCCAGCCCUGCAGGUCCCAGAGGAAACCUCUCCUCCUCCCUGGGCUUCCCCGACAGACUUUUCCACUUAGAAGACAUGGUCUCCCCUCCUUACAACUCCCAGGGCUCCCGACCAGAGCCCUCCUCGGCUCUGCCUGCAUGGACCUGCACCUCCCACUAGGCUCAGCUUCUGGGGGCAGGGGCUUCAGCUCCCACAAGUGCUAACCUGUGUCUCUACCCACAGCAAAUGCUCAACAAACACUGGUCACCGUGCACGUUCAAAAGAGAGGCUGAGUGCUUGGGCCUGGAGUCAGCCAGUCCUGGGCACCAACCUGCCUCCGUUAUUCACUAACUUGUUAGCUGCCAACUUUAGGCAAGUUUUCCCCCUCUGAGCCUUACUCAGAGCUCAUGGUGGUACUGUAAGGAUUAAACGAGAAAAUGGAUGUAAAGAACUCAGGACAAUGCCCGUCAGGUGAUUUGUGUUCUAUAAUUCAUAAUUAUUAUUAAUAUUUGUUGAAUAGAAAUUAUUAGCGAGGAUCAACAUUUCCCAGAGGCUUAUUAAGAGCCUUCUUCCCUGCCCUCCUUCCGAUCUGAUCCCCGUCUCCCAAGUCUGAGGCUUGGCAGGAUUUCUUAGCAUCCUGCACUAUCAGUUUUCCUAAGGUCCUCAGAGAGCCCAGGGUCGCCAGAUCCAGGGGUGUCCUUCAGUUCUCAUCUUACUUGACUGUCCAGCAGAAUUCAGGAGAACGGAUGACUCUCUCCUUCCUGCCCUUGUCCCGGGGCUCCCCCAACCACAUGAUAUCCCAGUCUCCACUUACCCCUCUGGCCACUCCUUCUGUCUCCGUUACUGGCUUGUGCUCUUCUAUCCAGCCAUUAAGUUUUGGGGUUCCUCAGGCUCCCUCCUAGACCCCUUCUCUUCUUGCUAAGCUCCCCCUGGUGAUCUCAUCCACAUUCACAGCUAUCAGUGUCUCAUAAGCGGAAACACAGGGCUCAUCCUUGAUUCCUCUCUCCUCAUCUAACCUACCGCUGAGGCUGUCAGUACAGCCGGGAUGGUAAGAGCUGGACUCUAGAGCCAGUUGGCUGGUCAAACCCUGGCUGCUAGGGCAGGUUACUUAAUCUUUCCAGUCCUUGGUUUUCUCAUCGGUGAACUGGGGAUAUUAAUACUACCUAUCUCAUAAGCUUGUUAUGGGAUUAACAAGGUUAAUAUUUAUAAAAUGCUUAGAAUGGUACCUGGCAUACAGUAAGAGCUAUGUAUGUAUUUGUUAAAUAAACGCAUUUAAAAAAAUUUAAUGUCACCUCCAAAACACAGCUCAAACACACUUGUCUUUAAUAACCUCCUUCCCAAGACCUGUGCCACCUCUCUAGCCUAGCUACUGUGCCCUAUGCUAAAACGACCAACUAGCCCCCUGCAUCCUCUCCUGCCCCCUCCAAGUUGUUGUCUACACAGUAGCCAGAAUGAGUUUUCCAAGCAAAUCUAUUUAAGAAACCCCUUUUCUCCGACCCUCAUUACUUCCUGAUGCUUUGAGAGUCAAGAUCUAAAGCGUUAAUGUGCCCAGGCUCUCCAGGGACUGGCCCCAUCCACUGCCCACCCAUCUCAAACCCCACUCCCUGGCUUCCUGCAUGGCAGGCUUCCUGGCCUUUCAGGUCCUCAUACAACCUGAGCUCUCUCCUGCCUGUGCACAUUCUGAGUCUUCCGUGUAGAGGACUCCUCCUACUCUCCCCGAAUGCACCUAGUUAACAUUCAGUCAUCAUUCUGAUCUUAUUUCAAAUGCCCUUUCCUCAGGGAAGGCUUCCCUGAUUGCCCUGCAUUGGUCUGGUCCCCCAUCAUACCCCUAUACACCUCUCCUCCACUGCACCUUUACAUUUAAUUGUGUGCUUGUGCGGUCAGUACUAGAGGGCAGGGACCUGUCUGUUUUUAUACACUUUGGAUCACCAGAGCCCAGCAAAGUGCCUGACACACAGUAGGUGCUCAACAUAUAAACUGAUGGCUGCUUUGAUGGCAGGAAGGUGAGUGAGUGAGCCUGCUUCCCUAAGGCUUACAGUGGUAGCUCUGAUCUAGAGACAUCCAUUGCAACCUCUUACUCUCACACCCUCCCCAAGGUUGUCACAGUUCCUAUCUGUACCCCAGUCCAUGCUUCUCACACAAUUCCAGGCCCUGGAUGCUGGCUCCUCUGACAGUCACACUGUGAAGCUGAGAGCCCUCUCUGGAGACUCAGAUGGAACAUAUUUCGGCAUCUCCAGGCAAGACGAGGCUGAGCUCUCGAUACAGUGCUGUGGCUGCCACUGCCUCCAGGCCUGGGCUGGGGUUGAGAUUGCUUCAGGUCCUCCAGAGGAGUCCUCGGAGAGACCCACGGUCCCAGCAUGCUCCCUACCACCCAUCUCCCUUCUGUGUUCGUAAAUUGCCCUGCUCGAUCUUUUAGUGGCUUCCUCCUUCAGGAACAAGAAUGAUGUUUCUUUCCUCUCUCCCUCCCUCUCAAACAGCCUGGCCUAGGACUCUGCUAGAAAGAUAAGGACUGAUUCAGCACCUUCCUUGUUUUCUUCCCAGGCCUGACCACUCCACAGCUGCAAAUUUAGCCCUGGAAAACAGAGGGGAAGCUCGGUGGGUAGAAACGUUGUUGGAUGAGAAUGGAGAUCUAAGAGUUCCUCCUUCCUAGAUGAGGGUGUAGAGCAGGAACCCUGCCA
Long non-coding RNA from Equus quagga, 4478 nucleotides. RefSeq lists it as uncharacterized. The record is from RefSeq and is a predicted model, not a curated record. NCBI's taxonomy places the organism in Eukaryota, Metazoa, Chordata, Mammalia, Perissodactyla, Equidae. The transcript has 3 exons.